UUUUCUUCUUCGUUCUCUGACUGCGUGAUUCUGGAUCUUUUCUUCUUCGUGUUCAAUCUUUGUAAUUCUUUUAGUGAGAGGCUUUAGUUGUAUAUAGUGUACGAUCUGAGAGAUUGUAAGAAUUGUAUUCUUCUUGUAAUAUUUAGAGAGGAUCGAGAAAAACUAAGUGAUUUCUCAUACAUUCUGUCACUGUUCUUGGUGAUUU
This 205-nucleotide long non-coding RNA is filed under the name Olea europaea (common olive). Its description in RNAcentral is "long non-coding RNA (OEUR_LNC013738)". The record is from RNAcentral. Lineage: Eukaryota; Viridiplantae; Streptophyta; Magnoliopsida; Lamiales; Oleaceae.